Molecule: unclassified non-coding RNA, 395 nt
Filed under: soil metagenome
Description: partial contains 5.8S ribosomal RNA, internal transcribed spacer 2, and large subunit ribosomal RNA
Rfam family: 5.8S ribosomal RNA (bases 1-122)
Source: RNAcentral
GAUGAAGAACGUAGCGAAAUGCGAUACUUGGUGUGAAUUGCAGAAUCCCGUGAACCAUCGAGUCUUUGAACGCAAGUUGCGCCCGAAGCCAUCAGGUUGAGGGCACGUCUGCCUGGGCGUUACAUAUCGUUGCCCAAUGCCUAUUGCAGUGCAAUAGGAAUUUCUAGGGCGAAUGAUGGCUUCCCGUGAGCGUUGUUGCCUCGCGGUUGGUUGAAAAUCGAGUCCUUGGUAGGGUGUGCCAUGGUAGAUGGUGGUCGAGUUAGAACGAUACCGAUCAUGUGCAUGCUCCCCAAAAUAUGGCCUCUAUGACCCACACGCGUCUUUUGACGCUCAUGACGAGACCUCAGGUCAGGCGGGGCUACCCGCUGAAUUUAAGCAUAUCAAUAAGCGGAGGA